RNAcentral lists this ribosomal RNA (548 nucleotides) under uncultured bacterium. Its description in RNAcentral is "bacterial SSU rRNA". It matches the Rfam family "Bacterial small subunit ribosomal RNA", at positions 1 to 603 of the family's 1533-position model. The record is from RNAcentral.
UAGAGUUUGAUCAUGGCUCAUAACGAACGCUGGCGGCAGGCUUAACACAUGCAAGUCGAGCGCCCCGCAAGGGGAGCGGCAGACGGGUGAGUAACGCGUGGGAAUCUACCCAUCCCUACGGAAUAACGCAUGGAAACGUGUGCUAAUACCGUAUACGCCCUUAGGGGGAAAGAUUUAUCGGGGAUGGAUGAGCCCGCGUUGGAUUAGCUAGUUGGUGGGGUAAAGGCCUACCAAGGCGACGAUCCAUAGCUGGUCUGAGAGGAUGAUCAGCCACAUUGGGACUGAGACACGGCCCAAACUCCUACGGGAGGCAGCAGUGGGGAAUAUUGGACAAUGGGCGCAAGCCUGAUCCAGCCAUGCCGCGUGAGUGAUGAAGGCCUUAGGGUUGUAAAGCUCUUUCACCGAUGAAGAUAAUGACGGUAGUCGGAGAAGAAGCCCCGGCUAACUUCGUGCCAGCAGCCGCGGUAAUACGAAGGGGGCUAGCGUUGUUCGGAAUUACUGGGCGUAAAGCGCAUGUAGGCGGAUAUUUAAGUCAGGGGUGAAAUCCC